GAUGAACGCUAGCUACAGGCUUAACACAUGCAAGUCGAGGGGCAUCAGGACGAUAGCUUGCUAUUGUUGCUGGCGACCGGCGCACGGGUGAGUAACGCGUAUCCAACCUUCCCCUUAGUAGGGAAUAGCCCGGUGAAAAUCGGAUUAAUGCCCUAUGUUCUUCACAGCGGACAUCUAACGUGAAGCAAAGAUUCAUCGCUAAGGGAUGGGGAUGCGUCUGAUUAGGUAGACGGCGGGGUAACGGCCCACCGUGCCAACGAUCAGUAGGGGUUCUGAGAGGAAGGUCCCCCACAUUGGAACUGAGACACGGUCCAAACUCC
This 320-nucleotide ribosomal RNA is filed under the name uncultured Prevotella sp. RNAcentral's name for it is "bacterial SSU rRNA". It matches the Rfam family "Bacterial small subunit ribosomal RNA", at positions 28 to 339 of the family's 1533-position model. Lineage: Bacteria; Pseudomonadati; Bacteroidota; Bacteroidia; Bacteroidales; Prevotellaceae. The record is from RNAcentral.